UGGAGCAAAUCCCUAAAAGACCAUCCCAGUUCGGAUCGCAGGCUGCAACCCGCCUGCGUGAAGUUGGAAUCGCUAGUAAUCGCGGAUCAGCAUGCCGCGGUGAAUACGUUCCCGGGCCUUGUACACACCGCCCGUCACACCAUGAGAGUUGGGAAUACCCGAAGCCUGUGAGCUAACUUAUAGAGGCAGCAGUCGAAGGUAGAAUCAAUGAUUGGGGUGAAGUCGUAACAAGGUAAC
This 237-nucleotide ribosomal RNA is filed under the name uncultured bacterium. RNAcentral describes it as "partial 16S ribosomal RNA". It matches the Rfam family "Bacterial small subunit ribosomal RNA", at positions 1263 to 1500 of the family's 1533-position model. The record is from RNAcentral.